Molecule: ribosomal RNA, 430 nt
Filed under: Pseudomonadota bacterium
Lineage: Bacteria; Pseudomonadati; Pseudomonadota
Description: Proteobacteria bacterium partial 16S ribosomal RNA
Rfam family: Bacterial small subunit ribosomal RNA
Source: RNAcentral
UGGGGAAUAUUGGACAAUGGGGGGAACCCUGAUCCAGCCAUGCCGCGUGUGUGAAGAAGGCCUUAUGGUUGUAAAGCACUUUAAGCGAGGAGGAGGGUACUGGUAUUAAUACUACCAGGUACUGGACGUUACUCGCAGAAUAAGCACCGGCUAACUCUGUGCCAGCAGCCGCGGUAAUACAGAGGGUGCGAGCGUUAAUCGGAUUUACUGGGCGUAAAGCGUGCGUAGGCGGCUAAUUGAGUCGGAUGUGAAAUCCCCGAGCUUAACUUGGGAAUUGCAUUCGAUACUGGUUAGCUAGAGUGUGGGAGAGGAUGGUAGAAUUCCAGGUGUAGCGGUGAAAUGCGUAGAGAUCUGGAGGAAUACCGAUGGCGAAGGCAGCCAUCUCGCCUAACACUGACGCUGAGGUACGAAAGCAUGGGGAGCAAACAGG